GGAACUUUGGAAUACUCAGAGCAAUUGUUUGAGGAGAACUUUGUUUGCGAAGCUGGAACAGCUCGAGAUGUCGAUGGCCGACUGGUUCUCGGUGGUCUCUCCCUCGGGGGGGGAUCAGAUAUGAGCUGCAGGAUCGGGAUGCCCCACCGCUUGGGUGAUCGAUGUUGCUGGUCACCGGGCGACGUAUCGGGGAAGGGUCGUGGAGGACCGGACUGACGAGCGUGGACGUCUGACGAAAGGAGUUCUAUGGCGCAUGGAGUUGAGCUUCAACUUGCCGACUUCAGAUCGUUGUGGGUUUGGCACUGGGAGGUUAGGUUUGGGCAGGCGUCAUGUUUUGUGUAGAGCUCUGAUUCGUUUUGCUUUUGGGAUCGGGUAGGUUUCCGACGCAUGACUUUUCGUGUGGUUCUCUUACUGAGGGAUCACAGUGAGUCAGUUGGACCAUAGGGGUCUUUGCUUAGGCCAUAUUGAGGCCGACUUUCUCCUAGUGGUUUGUAAUUAUAAUUUUCUCACUUACACUUCUGGGUCUGUAUAUAUUUGCCUACGGGCACACUGCUUUGGAGUCACUGCGAGUGCGCGUGACAUGGAGUGCAGCUGAGGCUGUACAUGUAUAUAUGUUGUAUAUCGAUUAGUUUAGUAGUUGGGUUUUGUCUUUA
Lotus japonicus is the source of this 653-nucleotide long non-coding RNA. RefSeq lists it as uncharacterized. The record is from RefSeq and is a predicted model, not a curated record. Lineage: Eukaryota; Viridiplantae; Streptophyta; Magnoliopsida; Fabales; Fabaceae. The transcript has 2 exons.